AACGCAUCUUGCACUAUUCGGCUUCCCCGGAUAGUAUGCCUGGUUGAGUGUCUAUGUAUCUCUCCUAUUCCAAUUGUUUUUCUUUUGAUGACGAUUGGUGUUAUAUAGGGAAUUGGGGUCUUUAUCGUCGAGUCUAUCAAAUGCCUCGGGGAACCCUUGAAAUAUAGUAAGCUCCUAUCUGUAUUGGAAAUACGUAAUCUGGAGAUGGCGUCGUAGCUAAAUCUUAACUGAUUGGUCGAAGCGCCUACAACAUACUCCUAACCACGGUGUUAAUCCUUUUGAUUGGGUGAAGCUUAGCGACUGAGCAAAGCGCUCUUUUUCUUAAUCAUUUAAGAGAAAACCGAACAAUAAUGACCUCAACUCAGGUAGGACGACCCGCUGGACUUAA
Molecule: unclassified non-coding RNA, 388 nt
Filed under: uncultured fungus
Lineage: Eukaryota; Fungi
Description: sequence contains ITS2
Source: RNAcentral